UGGGGAAUAUUGCACAAUGGGGGAAACCCUGAUGCAGCGACGCCGCGUGAGCGAUGAAGGCUUUCGAGUCGUAAAGCUCUGUCCUAUGGGAAGAUAAUGACGGUACCAUAGAAGAAAGCCCCGGCUAAUUACGUGCCAGCAGCCGCGGUAAUACGUAAGGGGCGAGCGUUGUCCGGAAUUAUUGGGCGUAAAGAGUGCGUAGGCGGCAAAUUAAGUCAGAUGUGAAAACUAAGGGCUCAACCCAUAGAUUGCAUCUGAAACUGAUAUGCUUGAGUCAAGGAGAGGAAAGUGGAAUUCCUAGUGUAGCAAUGGAAUGCGUAGAUAUUAGGAGGAAUACCGGUGGCGAAGGCGACUUUCUGGACUUGAACUGACGCUAAGGCACGAAAGCGUGGGGAGCAAACAGG
This 404-nucleotide ribosomal RNA is filed under the name Verrucomicrobiota bacterium. RNAcentral's name for it is "Verrucomicrobia bacterium partial 16S ribosomal RNA". It matches the Rfam family "Bacterial small subunit ribosomal RNA", at positions 355 to 776 of the family's 1533-position model. Lineage: Bacteria; Pseudomonadati; Verrucomicrobiota. The record is from RNAcentral.